GUGCUCGCGUCGGCAGCACAUAUACCAAAAUUGGAAUGAUAAACAGAGAAGGUUAGUAUGGCCCCUGCACAAGGAUGACACGCAAAUUCGUGAAGUCAUCCAUAUUUUG
This 109-nucleotide small nuclear RNA is filed under the name Dasypus novemcinctus (nine-banded armadillo). Lineage: Eukaryota; Metazoa; Chordata; Mammalia; Cingulata; Dasypodidae. The record is from RNAcentral.